AAGUCGUAACAAGGUUUCCGUAGGUGAACCUGCGGAAGGAUCAUUAGUGAUUGCCUUAAUUGGCUAACUAUAUCCAUCAACACCUGUGAACUGUUCGAUUGAAUCUCUUGGUUCAAUUUUUACAAACAUUGUGUAAUGAACGUCAUUUAUUAUAACAUAAUAAAACUUUCAACAACGGAUCUCUUGGCUCUC
This 192-nucleotide unclassified non-coding RNA is filed under the name fungal sp. RNAcentral's name for it is "partial internal transcribed spacer region". The stretch from base 1 to 46 matches the Rfam family "Eukaryotic small subunit ribosomal RNA", at positions 1786 to 1831 of the family's 1831-position model. RNAcentral also lists the same sequence under 1 other name. Lineage: Eukaryota; Fungi. The record is from RNAcentral.